AGUGACGAAGGCCUUCGGGUCGUAAAGCUCUGUUGUUAGGGAAGAACAAGUACCGUUCGAAUAGGGCGGUACCUUGACGGUACCUAACCAGAAAGCCACGGCUAACUACGUGCCAGCAGCCGCGGUAAUACGUAGGUGGCAAGCGUUGUCCGGAAUUAUUGGGCGUAAAGCGCGCGCAGGCGGUCUUUUAAGUCUGAUGUGAAAGCCCACGGCUCAACCGUGGAGGGUCAUUGGAAACUGGAGGACUUGAGUGCAGAAGAGGAGAGUGGAAUUCCACGUGUAGCGGUGAAAUGCGUAGAUAUGUGGAGGAACACCAGUGGCGAAGGCGGCUCUCUGGUCUGUAACUGACGCUGAGGCGCGAAAGCGUGGGGAGCAAACAGGAUUAGAUACCCUGGUAGUCCACGCCGUAAACGAUGAGUGCUAGGUGUUGGGGGGUUCCACCCUCAGUGCUGAAGUUAACACAUUAAGCACUCCGCCUGGGGAGUACGACCGCAAGGUUGAAACUCAAAGGAAUUGACGGGGGCCCGCACAAGCAGUGGAGCAUGUGGUUUAAUUCGAAGCAACGCGAAGAACCUUACCAGGUCUUGACAUCCUCUGACAAUCCUGGAGACAGGACGUUCCCCUUCGGGGGACAGAGUGACAGGUGGUGCAUGGUUGUCGUCAGCUCGUGUCGUGAGAUGUUGGGUUAAGUCCCGCAACGAGCGCAACCCUUGAUCUUAGUUGCCAGCAUUUAGUUGGGCACUCUAAGGUGACUGCCGGUGACAAACCGGAGGAAGGUGGGGAUGACGUCAAAUCAU
RNAcentral lists this ribosomal RNA (797 nucleotides) under Guptibacillus hwajinpoensis. Its description in RNAcentral is "bacterial SSU rRNA". It matches the Rfam family "Bacterial small subunit ribosomal RNA", at positions 404 to 1193 of the family's 1533-position model. Lineage: Bacteria; Bacillati; Bacillota; Bacilli; Caryophanales; Guptibacillaceae. The record is from RNAcentral.